GUAUUUUGAAUUAAGUAUUCAUAAUAGUUUUUCAGACAAAGUGGUUCAAGGUUAUAGGUUGGUGUAGGUGUUUCUCCGAAAAGAAACACAACAUUGCACACAAGGUGGAUAUGGAUUUUUAAAGAGUGCCAUAAAACACUCGUUUGUGAAUGAUCCUUCCGCAGGUUCACCUACGGAAA
RNAcentral lists this unclassified non-coding RNA (179 nucleotides) under uncultured fungus. RNAcentral's name for it is "sequence contains ITS1, 5.8S rRNA gene". The record is from RNAcentral. Lineage: Eukaryota; Fungi.